GACGAACGCUGGCGGCGUGCCUAACACAUGCAAGUCGAACGGAAAGGCGCUGCUCUUGUGGGGCGCUCGAGUGGCGAACGGGUGAGUAACACGUGAGUAACCUGCCCCUGUCAUUGGGAUAACUUUAGGAAACUGGGGCUAAUACCGGAUAGGAGCUCCUGCUGCACGGUGGGGGUUGGAAAGUUUCGGCGGUAGGGGCUGGAUUCGCGGCUUAUCAGCUUGUUGGUGGGGUAGUGGCUUUCCAAGCCUUCGACGGGUAGGCGGCCUGAGAGGGUGACCGGCCACAUUGCGCCUGCGGGACGGCGCAGAAGCCUACCGGAGGCAGCGGUGGAGAGUAUUGCACAAUGGGCGGACGCCUGAUGCGGCAGCGCUCCGUGCGGAAUGACGUCCUUCGAGUUGUAAACCACUUUCGCCGGUAACGAACAGUGAGUGACGGUAAUGAGUAAAAAAGCACCGGCUAACUACGUG
Molecule: ribosomal RNA, 468 nt
Filed under: uncultured bacterium
Lineage: Bacteria
Description: partial 16S ribosomal RNA
Rfam family: Bacterial small subunit ribosomal RNA
Source: RNAcentral